Molecule: small nucleolar RNA, 70 nt
Organism: Homo sapiens (human)
Lineage: Eukaryota; Metazoa; Chordata; Mammalia; Primates; Hominidae
Source: RefSeq, marked provisional
UGGUAGUGAUGACGGUCACAGCAGCUGCUCUCUGUGGCCCUACUGUGUUCACAGCUGGUGCUGAGCCACA